This 381-nucleotide ribosomal RNA is filed under the name uncultured eukaryote. RNAcentral describes it as "partial 18S ribosomal RNA". It matches the Rfam family "Eukaryotic small subunit ribosomal RNA", at positions 592 to 976 of the family's 1831-position model. The record is from RNAcentral.
CAAUAGCGUAUAUUAAAGCUGUUGCGGUUAAAAAGCUCGUAGUUGGAUUUCUGUCAAGGACAACUGGUCCGCCCUCCGGGUGAGCACAUAGUUUGGUCUUGGCAUCUUGUUCAAAACUGUUACUGCGCUUGGUUGUGUGGUGCAGUUUUGGGCACUUUCACUUUGAGGAAAUUGGAGUGUUUCAAGCAGGCACAUGCCUUUGGACACAGUAGCAUGGAAUAAUUAGAUUGGGCUUUUGCUCCAACCUGUCGGUUCCUGGAGCUGAGGUGAGAAUCAAUGGGGAUUGUUGGGGGCAUCUGAAUUUAGCCGUCAGAGGUGAAAUUCUUGGAUCUGCUAAAGACGGACAACUGCGAAAGCGUUUGCCCAGGAUGUUUUCAUUGA